Molecule: ribosomal RNA, 433 nt
Filed under: uncultured bacterium
Lineage: Bacteria
Description: partial 16S ribosomal RNA
Rfam family: Bacterial small subunit ribosomal RNA
Source: RNAcentral
AGCGAACGCUGGCGGCAGGCCUAACACAUGCAAGUCGAACGAGCUCUUCGGAGUUAGUGGCGGACGGGUGAGUAACACGUGGGAACGUGCCUUUUGGUUCGGAAUAACUCAGGGAAACUUGUGCUAAUACCGAAUGUGCCCUUCGGGGGAAAGAUUUAUCGCCAUUAGAGCGGCCCGCGUCUGAUUAGCUAGUUGGGGAGGUAACGGCUCACCAAGGCGACGAUCAGUAGCUGGUCUGAGAGGCUGACCAGCCACACUGGGACUGAGACACGGCCCAGACUCCUACGGGAGGCAGCAGUGGGGAAUCUUGCGCAAUGGGCGAAAGUCUGACGCAGCCAUGCCGCGUGAAUGAUGAAGGUCUUAGGAUUGUAAAAUUCUUUCACCGGUGACGAUAAUGACGGUACCCGGAGAAGAAGCCCCGGCUAACUUCGUG